Molecule: ribosomal RNA, 490 nt
Filed under: uncultured bacterium
Lineage: Bacteria
Description: partial 16S ribosomal RNA
Rfam family: Bacterial small subunit ribosomal RNA
Source: RNAcentral
AUUGAACGCUGGCGGCAGGCCUAACACAUGCAGGUCGAACGGUAACAGGAAGAAGCUUGCUUCUUUGCUGACGAGUGGCGGACGGGUGAGUAAUGUCUGGGAAACUGCCUGAUGGAGGGGGAUAACUACUGGAAACGGUAGCUAAUACCGCAUAACGUCGCAAGACCAAAGAGGGGGACCUUCGGGCCUCUUGCCAUCGGAUGUGCCCAGAUGGGAUUAGCUAGUAGGUGGGGUAACGGCUCACCUAGGCGACGAUCCCUAGCUGGUCUGAGAGGAUGACCGGCCACAAGGGAAUGGAAAAACGGUCCAGACCACGAAGGGAGGGAGCAGGGGGGAAUUUUGCGAAAGGGGGGGAAGCUUGAAGGAGCAAAGCCGGGGGAGGGAAGAAGGGCUUGGGGUUGGAAAACUAUUUUAGGGGGGAAGAAGGAAGGUGAAAUUAACUAUGUACCUAUUGACGGUACCCAAUAAGAAAGCCACGGCUAACCACGUG